AAUCCAAUCAAGCUUGGCUUGGUAUUGGGCGCCGGGACUCCCCGCGCCUCAAUUUCACCGGCUGGCCGCCGCCCGUCUUAGCGUUGUGACACACUUUUCGCUGGCGAUGGGAAGCGGCUCACGCCGUUAGAAUCCAAUGAAUUUCAAUCAAAAUUCUGAUUAGG
This 164-nucleotide unclassified non-coding RNA is filed under the name uncultured Capnodiales. Its description in RNAcentral is "sequence contains ITS2". The record is from RNAcentral. Lineage: Eukaryota; Fungi; Ascomycota; Dothideomycetes; Capnodiales.